This 497-nucleotide ribosomal RNA is filed under the name uncultured bacterium. RNAcentral describes it as "partial 16S ribosomal RNA". It matches the Rfam family "Bacterial small subunit ribosomal RNA", at positions 28 to 507 of the family's 1533-position model. The record is from RNAcentral.
GAUGAACGCUGGCGGCGUGCCUAAUACAUGCAAGUCGAACGCAUAGCGAAAGGUGCUUGCACCUUUCAAGUGAGUGGCGAACGGGUGAGUAACACGUGGACAACCUGCCUCAAGGCUGGGGAUAACAUUUGGAAACAGAUGCUAAUACCGAAUAAAACUUAGUGUCGCAUGACACAAAGUUAAAAGGCGCUUCGGCGUCACCUAGAGAUGGAUCCGCGGUGCAUUAGUUAGUUGGUGGGGUAAAGGCCUACCAAGACAAUGAUGCAUAGCCGAGUUGAGAGACUGAUCGGCCACAUUGGGACUGAGACACGGCCCAAACUCCUACGGGAGGCUGCAGUAGGGAAUCUUCCACAAUGGGCGAAAGCCUGAUGGAGCAACGCCGCGUGUGUGAUGAAGGCUUUCGGGUCGUAAAGCACUGUUGUAUGGGAAGAACAGCUAGAAUAGGAAAUGAUUUUAGUUUGACGGUACCAUACCAGAAAGGGACGGCUAAAUACGCG